ACUCCUACGGGAGGCAGCAGUGGGGAAUAUUGCACAAUGGGCGCAAGCCUGAUGCAGCCAUGCCGCGUGUGUGAAGAAGGCCUUCGGGUUGUAAAGCACUUUUCAGUUGUGAGGAAGGUGGUGUCGUUAAUAGCGGCAUCAUUUGACGUUAGCAACAGAAGAAGCACCGGCUAACUCGUGCCAGCAGCCGCGGUAAUACGGAGGGUGCGAGCGUUAAUCGGAAUUACUGGGCGUAAAGCGCAUGCAGGUGGUUUGUUAAGUCAGAUGUGAAAGCCCGGGGCUCAACCUCGGAACUGCAUUUGAAACUGGCAGACUAGAGUACUGUAGAGGGGGGUAGAAUUUCAGGUGUAGCGGUGAAAUGCGUAGAGAUCUGAAGGAAUACCGGUGGCGAAGGCGGCCCCCUGGACAGAUACUGACACUCAGAUGCGAAAGCGUGGGGAGCAAACAGG
RNAcentral lists this ribosomal RNA (449 nucleotides) under uncultured bacterium. Its description in RNAcentral is "bacterial SSU rRNA". It matches the Rfam family "Bacterial small subunit ribosomal RNA", at positions 335 to 776 of the family's 1533-position model. The record is from RNAcentral.